Molecule: non-coding RNA, 51 nt
Organism: Schistosoma mansoni
Lineage: Eukaryota; Metazoa; Platyhelminthes; Trematoda; Strigeidida; Schistosomatidae
Source: Rfam
AUCCAGCUGACGAGUUCCAAAUAGGACAACAGAACGUGCGUCAAACUGGAU